This 340-nucleotide ribosomal RNA is filed under the name uncultured bacterium. Its description in RNAcentral is "bacterial SSU rRNA". It matches the Rfam family "Bacterial small subunit ribosomal RNA", at positions 30 to 371 of the family's 1533-position model. The record is from RNAcentral.
AUUGAACGCUGGCGGCAUGCCUUACACAUGCAAGUCGAACGGCAGCGGACCUUCGGGUGCCGGCGAGUGGCGAACGGGUGAGUAAUGCAUCGGAACGUGCCAUUGAGUGGGGGGAUAACGUAGCGAAAGUUGCGCUAAUACCGCAUAUUCUGUGAGCAGGAAAGCAGGGGACCGCAAGGCCUUGCGCUCUUUGAGCGGCCGAUGUCAGAUUAGCUAGUUGGUGAGGUAACGGCUUACCAAGGCGACGAUCUGUAGCGGGUCUGAGAGGAUGAUCCGCCACACUGGAACUGAGACACGGUCCAGACUCCUACGGGAGGCAGCAGUGGGGAAUUUUGGACAA